ACAUCCAGCGAACUUGGCAGAGAUGCCUUGGUGCCUUCGGGAACGCUGAGACAGGUGCUGCAUGGCUGUCGUCAGCUCGUGUUGUGAAAUGUUGGGUUAAGUCCCGCAACGAGCGCAACCCUUAUCCUUUGUUGCCAGCGAUUCGGUCGGGAACUCAAAGGAGACUGCCGGUGAUAAACCGGAGGAAGGUGGGGAUGACGUCAAGUCAUCAUGGCCCUUACGAGUAGGGCUACACACGUGCUACAAUGGCGCAUACAAAGAGAAGCGACCUCGCGAGAGCAAGCGGACCUCAUAAAGUGCGUCGUAGUCCGGAUCGGAGUCUGCAACUCGACUCCGUGAAGUCGGAAUCGCUAGUAAUCGUGGAUCAGAAUGCCACGGUGAAUACGUUCCCGGGCCUUGUACACACCGCCCGUCGCACCAUGGGAGUGGGUUGCAAAAGAAGUAGGUAGCUUAACCUUCGGGAGGGCGCUUACCACUUUGUGAUUCAUGACUGGGGUGAAGUCGUAACAAGGUAAGCGUAGCGAG
This 525-nucleotide ribosomal RNA is filed under the name uncultured bacterium. Its description in RNAcentral is "bacterial SSU rRNA". It matches the Rfam family "Bacterial small subunit ribosomal RNA", at positions 984 to 1509 of the family's 1533-position model. The record is from RNAcentral.